UAAACAGUUGUAGAAGUACAUGCUGAUUGAUGCGCGGUUAGUAACAAAAAUAGCUUAUAAGUGAGCGGACGGUAAUGGUUUUGGUUCUGAGAAAAUUGCGUAAAUUAAAACAAACUUUAUUUUGUUUGGUAAUAUUACAUUGAUUUUGUGUAUCAGAGCCGUGCGCGGUGUGCUAAUUGUUAGUGGCAGUUAUUUACGUUUAAAUAAACCAAGAUCCUUAUAUACAUAAACAUGUAUAUAUUUUACCCAGCGGCAAUAAUUUUUUUUUAACGAAACCCAUUUUAUAAUUUAGAGCAUGUUGCAACUAAAAAAUGUAUGAUAUAUAAGAUUGAUAUGAUAUUUAUGGGCCAAAUGUUGCUAGAAAUUAUAUGUGUUAUUUCAACUGGAAUUGGGUAUUGCCUUUAUAAAGCGCAUAGAUAUACAGGAGCUAAAAAGUAAGGAUUAAGAUUAAUACUAGAAGAAACUAUUGAUUAUGAUUGAAGCGAUUUUGAAAUACUGUUGAUUGUUUAUUAACAAAGGUGCAUUCACAUUAAUAUAGAAUCAGUGACAAUCAAUAUACAAAUACAAAUAAACACUAGUGUGCAAAUUAUUAAUAUUAUGGAUGGAAUUUAACAUCAAUUGAUGAAUAAAAAGCUAUGUUUAAUGCGAAUAAGCAAAAAAAAAAAUCUAAAAAAAUGUAUUAAAUCAGCCUUGGCUGUUAACCGGAUGGAAAAUUUUAGGUUUAAACGAGCAAAAGCUUUUACAUAUAAAGAAUUGCUUUCAAUGGGCUGUGCGUCGUUACUCGGAUUAAUUUCUCUACGUUAAUCGUAUAUGGUAUUAUCUGAUAUAAAAAAUGUGAGCGCAAAUUUGUUUAAAUUUGACUGAACUAAAAUAUAUUUCCGAAGAAUUUAUUGCGCACGUAUUUAGUCGAAGACUACGAGUUUAAUUUUGAUACUUAAUAUCAGUUGUAAGUCUCUGCAUUUAAUUGAAAUUAAUUAUUUCAAUUCAAUUAAGAAAUGAAUAAACUGAAAAUAAAUAGACUCAAAAUAUUGCUUAAAAAAUUAAAAUGCUGUGAAUAAAAGCAGUUAACUGCUGCAGUGAGAUAUGCGCAUAGAAACGAGAAAUGCAUCAACGAAGUACAUAAGGGGAAUUUUUAAUGGAAAUGAUAAAAUUGUACAUGUAGAGUAUAAUAUAAACAACAAUAGCAGAUCAAUGUGGAUAUGGUGCCAACAGAUGUUAUCCAAAGAAUAUUCUUACCUUGACUCGAUUGUUACAGAAUCUGGAAAAAAACAGGUGAAUUUUGUAUAUAGAACUAAAAAAAAUAAUACCUAUGAACCGGCGGGAGACUUUAAAAGUAUGACAUUCUGUCUCACUUGUGAUAUGGAGUGAAGAUAUAUCGAACCUUAUAUUGAAGUAGUUUUAAUAAUUAACUUAUAAUGAUUAGAUGAUAUUUAUAAAAUAUUUUAGCAUUUUAAACUAUUUUAUAUUUUGUUAUGUAGAGUGAAAACAUAAAGAACCCUUGUUUUUGUUGCCAAUUUAUAAGAAUCGACAAGCCAUAAUUUACUCCUUAAAAACAAGCAAACUACACGCAAUGAACGCUUGUUGUCUGGUCGCAUGUAGUUGUAAGCGCCUGUUAUCAGCGCUGGCAAAAGUUCAAAAAUAAAAAUACGUGAUUUUAUCUGUGCCGACAGUUUCAUAUAUGUAUUCUUACUAAUGUGCAACUGCCGCCGACGUUUCUUAGCUUUACCUAGUUUUUUAGGUUAACUCGUGUUCAGUUUUUAUACUUGUCUAUAUUGCCAAAUAGUUUUAGAGCUCUGCCUUUGAUGAACUUCGGCUCAUACAGUAACUACUAUCCUUAAUGCUUUAUUCUGGAAUAUUAACAGGCUAUUGGUGCAGGAGAGAAAUGAUUUAUUUAUAUAUUAGUAUACAAUUAUUUGAGUGGUGAUUCUUUGAAAAUGUCAAUGGACUAGGGGAUUCAAGUUGUGGGCCGUAAUCUAACUUUUUCUGAUUUAUUUAAGAAAUUUAUGUAAAGUUUUUAUCAAAUUGUAAUUCUUAAGAACGAUCAAACAAUUCAAAUAAGGUUAAAGUAACCCUAUAUGUUAAACACCUAAACUAAUGUAACUAGUGUUACAUACUCAUUCAAAAGCUAAUAUUAUAUAUUUUAGUCUAUUUAUUUCUCCAAGUCCAUUUAGUCUUUUAGUUAUUAGUUAUUUAGUUAUAAGGAACUGAAGUGUUUUGUCUAGCAUCCAUAUUGUUCUUAGCAAAUUGGGACAAUCAAUUCUAAUAUGCUAGUAACCUGAUUAGGGUACAUAGUUAGUUUCUUCGCAAAGGCCAUAUAGCA
Molecule: long non-coding RNA, 2320 nt
Organism: Teleopsis dalmanni
Lineage: Eukaryota; Metazoa; Arthropoda; Insecta; Diptera; Diopsidae
Exons: 6
Source: RefSeq, a predicted model, not a curated record